RNAcentral lists this ribosomal RNA (491 nucleotides) under uncultured bacterium. RNAcentral's name for it is "partial 16S ribosomal RNA". It matches the Rfam family "Bacterial small subunit ribosomal RNA", at positions 28 to 507 of the family's 1533-position model. The record is from RNAcentral.
GAUGAACGCUGGCUACAGGCUUAACACAUGCAAGUCGAGGGGAAACGACGGGGAAGCUUGCUUCCCCGGGCGUCGACCGGCGCACGGGUGAGUAACGCGUAUCCAACCUGCCUCUGACUGAGGGAUAACCCGUCGAAAGUCGGCCUAAUACCCCAUGGCAUCGUCUGUGGGCAUCCAACGACGAUUAAAGAUUUCAUCGGUCAGAGAUGGGGAUGCGUCUGAUUAGCUUGUUGGCGGGGUAACGGCCCACCAAGGCGACGAUCAGUAGGGGUUCUGAGAGGAAGGUCCACCACAUUUGAACUGAGACACGGUCCAAACUCCUACGGGAGGCAGCAGUGAGGAAUAUUGGUCAAUGGGCGAGAGCCUGAACCAGCCAAGUAGCGUGCAGGAUGACGGCCCUAUGGGUUGUAAACUGCUUUUAUGCGGGGAUAAAGUGAGGGACGUGUCCUUCAUUGCAGGUACCGCAUGAAUAAGGACCGGCUAAUUCCGUG